This is a long non-coding RNA of Vespa crabro (European hornet), 495 nucleotides long. RefSeq lists it as uncharacterized. The transcript is spliced from 2 exons. Lineage: Eukaryota; Metazoa; Arthropoda; Insecta; Hymenoptera; Vespidae. The record is from RefSeq and is a predicted model, not a curated record.
AAUCUUGAAAAAGAAAAGAAAAUAUAUAUUAUAAAUCUAAUAACUGAGAUCGUAUUAUCGAAAAAUGAAUUAUUUCUUACUGCACUAAAAGUUUCCAUAGAUAUGACAAACAUAUUUGCUGCAGUUAAUGUGCAAGAUAUUCAAUCAUGCGAUCACUAUGAUCCAUAAGACGUUGAGCAUUUAUACUUUCAAAAAAGAGAUGACCUAAUUGAGCAUAAGAGAAUGCCAAUUGUUGAAGAAACUUGUUUGUUUCAUCCAUAUAUGUAACGGCCUAAACAAAUGUCUAUCUUUAUGUGAAAAAAAAUGUAAAUUAAUUGUUUAACAUGUAUAAAAAUAAUCAUUAAUUUAUACCUGCAGGCCUGUGAUACUCAUCCCAAUCAUAUUGAGUCCUGCCUGCAGAAAGAAAGAUGUGGAAUAAUAGGAUUCCAUAAGGUCGGCAAACCUUUAUAGAAUAAAUCGUUACAUUUAGUAAUAAAGUAUUUUUUGUCAUUACAA